Carassius gibelio (silver crucian carp) is the source of this 1762-nucleotide long non-coding RNA. RefSeq lists it as uncharacterized. The transcript has 4 exons. Lineage: Eukaryota; Metazoa; Chordata; Actinopteri; Cypriniformes; Cyprinidae. The record is from RefSeq and is a predicted model, not a curated record.
UGUAAACCUAACCGCCAUAACCUCAACGAUUGAAAACCUUGCCGAUUCGACUCGAGUACUGUGAAAUUUAAGGCCGAGCUAAACCUUAACCAUCACAGACGCAACCAUCGGAAAACUUGCUGGCUCAACUCGAGCACUGUUAAAUUUAAGGCUGAAUUAACCCACACCCUAACCUUAGCCAUCACAGAUGCAGCUAUCGGAAAACUUGCUGGCUCAACUCAAGUACUGCUAAUUUUAAGGCUGAAUUAUAACACACCUUAAACUUAACCAUCACAGACCCAGUGAUUGCAGUCUAACGAUGACACUUACCGUCUUUGGGACAAGGCAGUCUGGCUGAAACAGGACUUCAUGGCGGAACGCGAUGCUGGGUCGGGAUCGUCGGACUCUGAAUUUUGAGCUGUGGUCUGACCCAGUGAUUGCAGUCUAACGAUGACACUUACCGUCUUUGGGACAAGGCAGUCUGGCUGAAACAGGACUUCAUGGCGGAACGCGAUGCUGGGUCGGGAUCGUCGGACUCUGAAUUUUGAGCUGUGGUCUGACCCAGUGAUUGCAGUCUAACGAUGACACUUACCGUCUUUGGGACAAGGCAGUCUGGCUGAAACAGGACUUCAUGGCGGAACGCGAUGCUGGGUCGGGAUCGUCGGACUCUGAAUUUUGAGCUGUGGUCUGACCCAGUGAUUGCAGUCUAACGAUGACACUUACCGUCUUUGGGACAAGGCAGUCUGGCUGAAACAGGACUUCAUGGCGGAACGCGAUGCUGGGUCGGGAUCGUCGGACUCUGAAUUUUGAGCUGUGGUCUGGUGAGUACUGCUAAAUUUAAGGCUGAACCAAACCACACCCUAAACUUAACCGUCACAGACCCAGCGGUUUAAAAACCUAGCCGGUUUAAUUCUAACACAGCUAAAUUUAAGGCUGAACUAAAGCACACCCUAAACUUAACAGUCACAGACCCAGCGGUUUAAAAACCUAGCCGGUUUAAUUCUAAUACAGCUAAAUUUAAGGCUGAACUAAAACACACCCUAAACUUAACCAUCAUAGACCCAGUGAUUAUAGUCUAACGAUGACACUUACCGUCUUUGGGACAAGGCAGUCUGGCUGAAACAGGACUUCAUGGCGGAACGCGAUGCGGGGUCCGGAUCGUCGGACUCUGAAUUUCGAGCUGUGGUCUGGUGAGUACCGCUUCAUUUAAGGCUGAACCAAACCACACCCUAAACUUAACCGUCACAGACCCAGCGGUUUAAAAACCUAGCCGGUUUAAUUCUAACACAGCUAAAUUUAAGGCUGAACUAAAACACACCCUAAACUUAACCGUCACAGACCCAGCGGUUUAAAAACCUAGCCGGUUUAAUUCUAACACAGCUAAAUUUAAGGCUGAACUAAAACACACCCUAAACUUAACCAUCAUAGACCCAGUGAUUAUAGUCUAACGAUGACACUUACCGUCCUUGGGGACAAGGCAGUCUGGCUGAAACAGGACUUCAUGGCGGAACGCGAUGCUGGGUCGCGAUCGUCGGACUCUGAAUUCCGAGCUGUGGUCUGGUGAGUACUGCUAAAUUUAAGGCUGAACCAAACCACACUCUAACUUAAUCGUCACAGACCCAGCGGUUUAAAAACCUAGCCGGUUGAACUCAAAACACUGCUAAAUUUAAGGCUUAACUAAACCACACACUGUAUCUAGCCAUCACUGACCCAGCGUUUAAAAAAAAAAAAAAAAAAAAAAAAAAAAAAAAAAAAAAAAAAAAAAAAAAAAAAAAAAACAAAA